UACGGGGGGGGCAAGCGUUGUUCGGAAUUAUUGGGCGUAAAGAGCGUGUAGGCGGCCCGGUAAGUCCGCUGUGAAAGUCGGGGGCUCAACCCUCGGAUGCCGGUGGAUACUGUCGGGCUCGAGUACGGAAGAGGCGAGUGGAAUUCCUGGUGUAGCGGUGAAAUGCGCAGAUAUCAGGAGGAACACCUAUUGCGAAGGCAGCUCGCUGGGACGUUACUGACGCUGAGACGCGAAAGCGUGGGGAGCAAACAGG
This 253-nucleotide ribosomal RNA is filed under the name uncultured bacterium. RNAcentral's name for it is "partial 16S ribosomal RNA". It matches the Rfam family "Bacterial small subunit ribosomal RNA", at positions 524 to 776 of the family's 1533-position model. The record is from RNAcentral.